UUAUAUCUUUUUUAUUUGCUGAAUUAAUACUGAAGGAAGAUCCGAUUUGUAUAGACUUUUUGCAAGUGAUGACGCAGAAAGAAACUUAAGAGAAAAAAGCCGAA
Long non-coding RNA from Neltuma alba, 104 nucleotides. RefSeq lists it as uncharacterized. NCBI's taxonomy places the organism in Eukaryota, Viridiplantae, Streptophyta, Magnoliopsida, Fabales, Fabaceae. The record is from RefSeq and is a predicted model, not a curated record. The transcript has 3 exons.